ACUGCCAAGGUGGCCCGGCGGUGCGAGGGUCACCUUUCAGCCCUUACCUCUACCCGCUGAAAUGGAGUAGGGCGGUGAGCGCCGAUCUGCUGGAGAAUCUCGUUAUCCCAUCGGCGCUCUGCCUGCUCCUGGCCUCCAAGCCUCUGAAGUCCCCCGGAUUUCAGCUGCCGGCUACCCCCGAGCCCGUGGUGCCCACGAGUGGCGACUUUACGUCAGCGGCCCUGGGCUGAGAUUUGAGAACGCGACCAAGUGGAGAAUGUUGGAGCCAGAUUUCAAAAUCCUUGACUUCCUUAUUCUUGCUACUUGAUGUAAAUGAGAUACGGCAAAGUCACAGUACCUGUUUUUAUGUUUUUGCCGGAUUCAUAGGGGCUUCUCCGGUGAAGAUGGGCCGAAGUAAAGCUUGUGUUGCUUCUGACGUUCUUACUCAUCCUGUAGCUGCAGCAACUGUGGUCCUUGCAACCUCAUAAAAAUGUUGCCAGCAUUGUUUUGAUAGUGCUGCUUAAUUCUUGGAAGGUUCUUCGGACUUCACAGAUUCCAGCAGUAGCUCUCUCAGCUCCUGCCCUGCACAGUUUUGAAGUGCUGGUGAAGAAAAUCUUCCCCUCAUUCCUGGUGGUCAGAGCUGGAUAAAAUAUCCACCCUUCAACCAAUAUCAGACAAGUGACACAGAUCAGAGUAAACAGAACAUACUGACAGACUGGAUGUGGAGCAUGAGAAGAAAUGGAGAGGACCAAGGAUGACCUGGAUUUCUGGCUUACGCAACUGCGUGGAAGUUGCUGCAGCUCCUGGUGGUGUAACAUCGUUCCAGGCAGGAAGAAAGUAAAUGGUGAGCAACCCCCUGGACCUGAGUGUGUUAGUGCCAACUAUUGGAGGGUGAGGUCCGUUUCUUUCUGGAAGCAAGGAGAAGAGGGAGAAGGAAAAGAAGGAAGAAGGGAGAAAGAAGAAUGAUGAGAAGCCAACCAGCCAGGAAAGCUAGAGGUGGUGAUGUCAUUGAACUCUUAAGUGCAAGAUGAAACAAGUCUUCCUAGCGUUCCAAGUAGGAUGUAAGCUGCCUCGAGGCCCUGAAUUCUCUCCAUUGCUGUGAAACUGAGAAGCUCAGCUGACCUGUUGGCCUCCUGGUCCAUAUCUUGACCUCUAUUUUUCACCUUUUACCUAAAGCCAAGAAUCAGCAACUGCUCCAAGGAAAAAAAUGGGUCUAAGAAGUAGGUUCAUCUCUCCUUGGUUCUCCUUUCUCCAACAUCUUGGCCCCUCAAUUCCUGGUUGUCUCGGUGGCUUUGUGCUGCUUUCAAACUUAUAACUUUGUGUUUUUUCUGACUUUUCUCAUUGUUCUUGACAGGGAUUUCAUUGUACUCCUGUGUACUCAACAUAGCCAGGAGUGGAAAUCCUGGCAUGAGUAACAGAAUUUUUCACUCAGCAUUUCUAUGUGGUAUUUACAGUGCUAAGGUCUCUUUUUAAUUAACACAAGACAAUUUUAUUGUCUUGCAAUUAUAAUUUGGAUGAAUAUUGUAUUAUACAUAAUAGUAAACAUGCAUUCUCUAAGUGUAUAAAUAAAGGUUUAGAAAAUUUGUGGAUAGAGUUCAAAAAUAUAAUACACCCUCACACUUAUAAGUCCAAAUCUGUGUUUACAAAAGCAUUCUAGUUACCGAACUAAUUUUAUGAAACUAAUUUUUGUCCAUGAUCCACAUAUAUACUUUUAUUUUGGGUUUUUACUAUUGUUAAAACAAUAUCAUUAUUAACAAGCACGAUUUCUAUUCCAGCAUCACUUUCAAUAAGCAAUGUAGCUCAAUAUGGCAAUGUAGUAUAUUAGUUUAGAUAUAAACCAGUACACAUUAGACGCAUUGAUGUACAAAUUAUUUAUUCAUGCUAUUUUAAAAUGACAGAAUAUAAAUAAUGAAAUAUUUAGUUCAAUCACUGAUUUUUAGUAUAAUAAUUCACUAAAUAUAGCUUGCCUGUAUAAAUGGAGUCUCUUUUAAAGGCUCAUUGACAAAUGUUGAGGUCUCCAGAAAAGUGAUAAUGUUAAAUCAAUCAGAUUUUCAAGCCAGGUGGAUAUGAACCUAGAAUUUGGAGGUAAGACUGAUGGACAAAGAUUAAAUAGCCCUGUGUUAAUCAACUGGUAGCAAAAGCCCUGCUGCCUUUGAAAAAUAUUGAUUGAAGCUGAUUGAUGGAUUUCAUGGAUGGAAGGAGAAACAGAUUAUGGGAACUGGGUAGAUCAACUCAUGAAGCUAGGCUCAUUCAUUAGGGAGAUGUAAAUAAAGUUGUACUAUUUAUACAUGC
Molecule: long non-coding RNA, 2271 nt
Organism: Macaca mulatta (Rhesus monkey)
Lineage: Eukaryota; Metazoa; Chordata; Mammalia; Primates; Cercopithecidae
Source: Ensembl